RNAcentral lists this ribosomal RNA (407 nucleotides) under uncultured bacterium. Its description in RNAcentral is "partial 16S ribosomal RNA". It matches the Rfam family "Bacterial small subunit ribosomal RNA", at positions 28 to 526 of the family's 1533-position model. The record is from RNAcentral.
GACGAACGCUGGCGGCGUGCCUAAUACAUGCAAGUAGAACGCAGUUGCGAACGGGUGAGUAACGCGUAGGUAACUGCCUCAUAGCGGGGGAUAACUAUUGGAAACGAUAGCUAAUACCGCAUACUGUGAGAUGGACCUGCGUUGUAUUAGCUAGUUGGUGAGGUAAAGGCUCACCAAGGCGACGAUACAUAGCCGACCUGAGAGGGUGUUCGGCGGCAGUGGCACAGAGACACGAGCCAGAGUCAGACGGGAGACAGCAGUGGGAGAUGUUCGACAAUGGACGGAUGUCUGACCGAGCAACGCGGGGUGAGUGAAGAAGGUAUUCGAAUCGUAUAGCUCUGUUGGUAGAGAAGCGUUAGCUAUCCAGAAAGGGACGGCUAACUACGAGCCAGCCGCCGCGGUAAUAC